GAUUGGAUUGCACGUCUAAGCAGUAAGGCUGAGUAUUAGGCAAAUCCGGUACUCGUUAAGGCUGAGCUGUGAUGGGGAGAAGACAUUGUGUCUUCGAGUCGUUGAUUUCACACUGCCGAGAAAAGCCUCUAGAUAGAAAAUAGGUGCCCGUACCGCAAACCGACACAGGUAGUCAAGAUGAGAAUUCUAAGGUGAGCGAGCGAACUCUCGUUAAGGAACUCGGCAAAAUGACCCCGUAACUUCGGGAGAAGGGGUGCUCUUUAGGGUUAACGCCCAGAAGAGCCGCAGUGAAUAGGCCCAAGCGACUGUUUAUCAAAAACACAGGUCUCUGCUAAACCGUAAGGUGAUGUAUAGGGGCUGACGCCUGCCCGGUGCUGGAAGGUUAAGAGGAGUGGUUAGCUUCUGCGAAGCUACGAAUCGAAGCCCCAGUAAACGGCGGCCGUAACUAUAACGGUCCUAAGGUAGCGAAAUUCCUUGUCGGGUAAGUUCCGACCCGCACGAAAGGCGUAACGAUUUGGGCACUGUCUCAACGAGAGACUCGGUGAAAUCAUAGUACCUGUGAAGAUGCAGGUUACCCGCGACAGGACGGAAAGACCCCGUGGAGCUUUACUGUAGCCUGAUAUUGAAAUUCGGCACAGCUUGUACAGGAUAGGUAGGAGCCUUUGAAACGUGAGCGCUAGCUUACGUGGAGGCGCUGGUGGGAUACUACCCUAGCUGUGUUGGCUUUCUAACCCGCACCACUUAUCGUGGUGGGAGACAGUGUCAGGCGGGCAGUUUGACUGGGGCGGUCGCCUCCUAAAAGGUAACGGAGGCGCUCAAAGGUUCCCUCAGAAUGGUUGGAAAUCAUUCAUAGAGUGUAAAGGCAUAAGGGAGCUUGACUGCGAGACCUACAAGUCGAGCAGGGUCGAAAGACGGACUUAGUGAUCCGGUGGUUCCGCAUGGAAGGGCCAUCGCUCAACGGAUAAAAGCUACCCCGGGGAUAACAGGCUUAUCUCCCCCAAGAGUUCACAUCGACGGGGAGGUUUGGCACCUCGAUGUCGGCUCAUCGCAUCCUGGGGCUGUAGUCGGUCCCAAGGGUUGGGCUGUUCGCCCAUUAAAGCGGUACGCGAGCUGGGUUCAGAACGUCGUGAGACAGUUCGGUCCCUAUCCGUCGUGGGCGUAGGAAAUUUGAGAGGAGCUGUCCUUAGUACGAGAGGACCGGGAUGGACAUACCUCUGGUGUACCAGUUGUCGUGCCAACGGCAUAGCUGGGUAGCUAUGUGUGGACGGGAUAAGUGCUGAAAGCAUCUAAGCAUGAAGCCCCCCUCAAGAUGAGAUUUCCCAACUUCGGUUAUAAGAUCCCUCAAAGAUGAUGAGGUUAAUAGGUUCGAGGUGGAAGCAUGGUGACAUGUGGAGCUGACGAAUACUAAUCGAUCGAAGACUUAAUCAA
RNAcentral lists this ribosomal RNA (1428 nucleotides) under Staphylococcus aureus. RNAcentral's name for it is "partial 23S ribosomal RNA". It matches the Rfam family "Bacterial large subunit ribosomal RNA", at positions 1497 to 2925 of the family's 2925-position model. Lineage: Bacteria; Bacillati; Bacillota; Bacilli; Caryophanales; Staphylococcaceae. The record is from RNAcentral.